UAGGGAAUCUUCGGCAAUGGGGGCAACCCUGACCGAGCAACGCCGCGUGAGUGAAGAAGGUUUUCGGAUCGUAAAGCUCUGUUGUAAGUCAAGAACGGGUGUGAGAGUGGAAAGUUCACACUGUGACGGUAGCUUACCAGAAAGGGACGGCUAACUACGUGCCAGCAGCCGCGGUAAUACGUAGGUCCCGAGCGUUGUCCGGAUUUAUUGGGCGUAAAGCGAGCGCAGGCGGUUUGAUAAGUCUGAAGUUAAAGGCUGUGGCUCAACCAUAGUUCGCUUUGGAAACUGUCAAACUUGAGUGCAGAAGGGGAGAGUGGAAUUCCAUGUGUAGCGGUGAAAUGCGUAGAUAUAUGGAGGAACACCGGUGGCGAAAGCGGCUCUCUGGUCUGUAACUGACGCUGAGGCUCGAAAGCGUGGGGAGCGAACAGGAUUAGAUACCCUGGUAGUCCACGCCGUAAACGAUGAGUGCUAGGUGUUGGAUCCUUUCCGGGAUUCAGUGCCGCAGCUAACACAUUAAGCACUCCGCCUGGGGAGUACGACCGCAAGGUUGAAACUCUAAAGUGAAUUGAC
RNAcentral lists this ribosomal RNA (570 nucleotides) under uncultured bacterium. RNAcentral describes it as "partial 16S ribosomal RNA". It matches the Rfam family "Bacterial small subunit ribosomal RNA", at positions 355 to 914 of the family's 1533-position model. The record is from RNAcentral.